UGAGGAAUCUUGCGCAAUGGACGAAAGUCUGACGCAGCCACGCCGCGUGGAGGAAGACACCCCUCAGGGGCGUAAACUCCUUUUAUAUGGGAAGAACACCCUCUUCUGGAGGGUCUGACGGUACCAUAUGAAUAAGCACCGGCUAACUCCGUGCCAGCAGCCGCGGUAAUACGGAGGGUGCAAGCGUUGUCCGGAAUCACUGGGUGUAAAGGGUGUGUAGGCGGGGCGGUAAGUCAGAGGUGAAAUCCCCCGGCUCAACCGGGGAAUUGCCUUUGAUACUGCCGCUCUUGAGUCCCGGAGGGGUCACUGGAAUUCGUGGUGUAGCGGUGAAAUGCGUAGAUAUCACGAGGAACACCAGAGGCGUAGGCGGGUGACUGGACGGGUACUGACGCUGAGGCACGAAAGCGUGGGGAGCAAACAGGAUUAGAUACC
Molecule: ribosomal RNA, 432 nt
Filed under: uncultured prokaryote
Description: bacterial SSU rRNA
Rfam family: Bacterial small subunit ribosomal RNA
Source: RNAcentral